This 435-nucleotide long non-coding RNA is filed under the name Calidris pugnax (ruff). RNAcentral's name for it is "lncRNA (ENSCPUG00000015742.1)". The record is from RNAcentral. Lineage: Eukaryota; Metazoa; Chordata; Aves; Charadriiformes; Scolopacidae.
CACAGCGGUACCGAGCACGGCCGUCCUCCACACAUUGGCAAUUCAAGCAAAUAUUCCACAGCGACAGGGGAGUUUUUGAGUCUUACGUAUUUCAGAUGUAUCGUAUCGUGAAUUUAUCACUGGAUAUUCUGCAAGCAAUUGAAACUCAUGGAAGUAUUUUAUUGAAUUCCAUGGACACCUUCUCAAUACAGAGCUCAUAACAGAAGCAUAUCGCAUCUGCCACUUCAAAUCCUCAUUCAGCCAGGCUUAAUUGAUGUAUGAGAAACAGCACAGCACCUGAAAAUAGCUACAGUAGCUGAUGCCUCUGUCAACGUCUGCAAGCUCCAAUUUUCAUAACACAGUGACUUAGAAGACAUGACUGUACAGUACUUCCAUGGAGUCUGGUAAUACGAAGUAUGUAACAGAAUAAAAGGAUGGAUAGUCUGAAGAGUAACA